UCUCCGUAGGUGAACCUGCGGAGGGAUCACUAUAGGCUUGUAGAAGCUCUGAAACCACUGUUUAUCUACCUGAAUCUGCUUCGGUGGGCGGCCCCAGGGCGGGGCCGUAGCCGCAAGGCGCCCGCCGAAGACCCCUAAACUCUGUCGUCUUGAGAAUCUCUGAGUAAUUAUAUUAAACAAAAACAACUUUCAACAAUGGAUCUCUUGGCUCUG
This 213-nucleotide unclassified non-coding RNA is filed under the name plant metagenome. RNAcentral describes it as "partial contains small subunit ribosomal RNA, internal transcribed spacer 1, and 5.8S ribosomal RNA". The record is from RNAcentral.